This is a long non-coding RNA of Papaver somniferum (opium poppy), 1161 nucleotides long. RefSeq lists it as uncharacterized. The transcript has 2 exons. The record is from RefSeq and is a predicted model, not a curated record. NCBI's taxonomy places the organism in Eukaryota, Viridiplantae, Streptophyta, Magnoliopsida, Ranunculales, Papaveraceae.
GAGAAACUCAUUUCUCUUUUCUUCUUCUCUUUCCUUCUUAUUUCUUCUUCUUCUUCUCUGUUCUUUCUCUUCUCCUCUCUGACAAUCUUAAUUUCAAAGUUUUGAGCGUGAUUUUGUCUGGGUGGUUCAUCAGAAUCAUAGUAACCUGUUGAAUUGAGUGAGAAGGUGAUGAUACUGCUAUCGAUUGAUUUUUGGAAGAAGCAGAAAAGGGUGAAGUUGUAACUUCAAAUGGAAAUGUUAGUGAAGUUGAACUUAGUUAGAUGAACGAAGGUCGCUGGUUUUGAUUGUUUGGAAAUACAGGGGAACUAGUAUUGAUGUGAAUUGCAGGAGUUGGUUGUGAAAUGAAGAUUAAAGUUGAAUAUCAAGAAAGUGGUAGCUAGUUCAUAUAAUGGGUGUCCAAUGUAGUAAUGAGUGAUGAUGAAGGCUGCAGUUUGAAUGGUUGUACAAAGUUGGAGUUGAGGUUUAGAUGACUAGUUGUUGAAGCUGAUGUCUGCAAUUGAGAACAAGGUACUGAUUGUGCUAGUUAGAAUAAGGCAUAGGUGUUGCUGUUAAUGAUUGAAAUUGAAUGAGACUUGAGAUAUAAGUAUAGAACAGUUGGUGGAGGAGUUAAUCUGAGUUGUAAAUCGAGGGGCAGUGCUGUCUGCAAUGAAGUUGCAGAUCGAGGUUGUGUUAAAUUGCAACUGUGGUGAAUUUGCAAGUAAACUGAGCUUGUGUUUGUGGAUAAAUUAUGAAGUUCGUUCGGUCAGGAUGUAAUGUUUUAGUGAAUGCAAAGUAUAAUUAUGGCUGUUGGAGUUGAGAGAAUAGUUAAGGCUAAUGAGGAACUGAAAUGGGUUGUACUCCAAUGUUGUUGAGAUAGUAGUAUUGCUCUGACUGUAAUUAUGAUGAUGGCGUUACGAUUGUGUGAAUGUGUCAUGAUGAUUGUGAUAUUAUUAAGGUGUAAGAAUAGUCAGAGUUGGUUUGGAUUGUAUUUAUAUAUAUGGUGGUGUUGUGUAUAAGCUGAAGUUGGUUAAAGAGUUGUUAGGGCAGAGACCUUAGUGAAAGCCUGUAUUUGCAGAAUCGAUGUAGAUAUGGUGUUGUUGAGUUGAUUGUGUGUCUGUGAAGCUGUAGAAUAAGUUGGCAGUCUUGAUAAGUUUUUGUUCAAUUUGAACUUAAAUUGAUAUA